GCUGGGGAUAGCUGAGUUGGUAGAGUAUGAGACUCACAGGGCCGUGGGUUCAAGCCCCAUGUUGGGCA
Podarcis lilfordi (Lilford's wall lizard) is the source of this 68-nucleotide non-coding RNA. The record is from the annotation of a GenBank genome assembly. NCBI's taxonomy places the organism in Eukaryota, Metazoa, Chordata, Lepidosauria, Squamata, Lacertidae.